GGUUUUAUCAUUAGUUUUAUUUCAUAAUGAUAAUAGAAGAUAUCUAUGAUGAUAACAAAUAUUUUUAUUGUUAACGCAUUUUAUUUUAAAAUUAUUUAACAUUUUUACAAAUUGAAGUAUUCCCGAUUCUGUACGAAUUAUCAUUUGUCUUCAAGCUAUGGUUCGUACUUGCAUUGUUUGUCAUGUAUCCUCUAAAGAUAAUACAGGCAACGUAUCAUUUCAUUUGGAUAUGAUGGUGGAGCAAAUAUGUCUGGUAAAUACCGCGGAGUUCAAGCUAGAAUCUUAAAUUUGCAACCAAAGGCAAUAUACACUCAUUGUGCAUCGCACCGCCUAAAUCUAACUUUAAUAAAAGCAUGUAGAGACAUGAUAUCGAAAGAAAAGUAUCGAUACUUUCACUUGGUAACGAAUGGAAUGAAAAUAACGAAACGUAACGACCGUAGUAUCGCAACAUCCAUAAUCACGAGGGCUCUUCUGUAAAUUGUUGUCUUUUCGUGAACACUGAUAGUAUGUUUAUGUUGCUGUGAUGUUUCAAACACCGUUUUAAUUUGUUUCCUUGUCAAUCAAUCUUGUUGUCCAACAAUGUUUCAUAGCGGCCCUUCUAUAGGUCAGUGACUAAGUGUACCUUUUGGCCAAAAGAAGAGGAACAAUACCGAAACAUCACACAUGGUAUAGCAGAACUUGCAUCUUAUUCCUUCUACACCAGAUUAUUACAUUUUUUAUUUACUUAAACCACUACAAUGUCAAAUCUUCAACAUAGUGGCAACUUGAGAAAUGCUCCUGCGAAGAGUGUCCUUGAUGUGGUGAUAUAGAUAUUGGCAAAUAGUGGUGUAUCAAGUCGACUGAGUGAUCCAGUAAUAGCUAAAAAUUUCUCAUUAUUGAUUGAUAUUAAUGGUAUUAAAGAUGACAUUAAAGAAUUUUCAAGGUCU
RNAcentral lists this unclassified non-coding RNA (926 nucleotides) under Sipha flava (yellow sugarcane aphid). RNAcentral describes it as "uncharacterized LOC112680531, transcript variant X2". Lineage: Eukaryota; Metazoa; Arthropoda; Insecta; Hemiptera; Aphididae. The record is from RNAcentral.